GUGUGCUAGAUGGGGAGUUAGCGGUGCCCUGUAACCCGGAACCCGCUAUACCGGGAUUGAAUUCCCACCCGAGGGUUAUGCGACCGAUUGUAUUCGAUGCUUAAGUGGUGUUGAUGGUCGGGUCCUGUACAACAAGAGCCUAUGAACCCGGUCAGGACCGGAAGGUAGCAGCCGUAAGUAGUUACUGUUGUGUGUUGCAGGGUCACCCGAUCUGAGCUAACUGGGCGGAGGAUCUUUUGGUUAGCGAUUCGGAGGUGGGUGCACAA
Molecule: signal recognition particle RNA, 266 nt
Filed under: Candidatus Zixiibacteriota bacterium
Lineage: Bacteria; Pseudomonadati; Candidatus Zixiibacteriota
Description: signal recognition particle sRNA large type
Rfam family: Bacterial large signal recognition particle RNA
About the family: The signal recognition particle (SRP) is a universally conserved ribonucleoprotein involved in the co-translational targeting of proteins to membranes. Archaeal SRP consists of a 7S RNA and homologues of the eukaryotic SRP19 and SRP54 proteins. In most bacteria, the SRP consists of a 4.5S RNA and the Ffh protein (a homologue of the eukaryotic SRP54 protein).
Source: RNAcentral